AACGAACGCUGGCGGCAUGCCUAAUACAUGCAAGUCGAACGAACACUUCGGUGUUAGUGGCGCACGGGUGCGUAACGCGUGGGAAUCUGCCCUUGGGUUCGGAAUAACAGUUGGAAACGACUGCUAAUACCGGAUGAUGACGUAAGUCCAAAGAUUUAUCGCCCAAGGAUGAGCCCGCGUAGGAUUAGCUUGUUGGUGAGGUAAAGGCUCACCAAGGCUACGAUCCUUAGCUGGUCUGAGAGGAUGAUCAGCCACACUGGGACUGAGACACGGCCCAGACUCCUACGGGAGGCAGCAGUAGGGAAUAUUGGACAAUGGGGGAAACCCUGAUCCAGCAAUGCCGCGUGAGCGAUGAAGGCCUUAGGGUUGUAAAGCUCUUUUACCC
This 385-nucleotide ribosomal RNA is filed under the name uncultured bacterium. RNAcentral's name for it is "bacterial SSU rRNA". It matches the Rfam family "Bacterial small subunit ribosomal RNA", at positions 29 to 441 of the family's 1533-position model. The record is from RNAcentral.